AACGAACGCUGGCGGCGCGCCUAAUACAUGCAAGUCGAGCGAGAAGACGUAGCAAUACGUUUGUAAAGCGGCGAACGGGUGAGGAAUACAUGGGUAACCUACCCUCGAGUGGGGAAUAACUAGCCGAAAGGUUAGCUAAUACCGCGUACGCUCCUUGGACUUCGGUUCAGGGAGGAAAGCGAUACCGUGGGUACCGCGCUCUUGGAUGGGCUCAUGUCCUAUCAGCUUGUUGGUGAGGAACGGCUCACCAAGGCUUCGACGGUAGCUGGUCUGAGAGGACGAUCAGCCACACUGGCACUGCGACACGGGCCAGGACUCCUACGGGAGGCAGCAGUAAGGAAUAUUGCGCAAUGGGCGAAAGCCUGACGCAGCGACGCCGCGUGGGGGA
This 388-nucleotide ribosomal RNA is filed under the name uncultured bacterium. Its description in RNAcentral is "bacterial SSU rRNA". It matches the Rfam family "Bacterial small subunit ribosomal RNA", at positions 29 to 408 of the family's 1533-position model. The record is from RNAcentral.